Bombyx mori (domestic silkworm) is the source of this 2640-nucleotide long non-coding RNA. RefSeq lists it as uncharacterized. Lineage: Eukaryota; Metazoa; Arthropoda; Insecta; Lepidoptera; Bombycidae. The transcript has 6 exons. The record is from RefSeq and is a predicted model, not a curated record.
AUAUUAUCUGGCUACAAAUAUAUAUCACGUCCACAAAACCGACUUAGUAUUUGUCCCAAGUGUGGUAAAUCGGUUUGAAAACUUGUGUGGGCGCGUCUGUUAAAUUUUGUUAAGAUUUUAUUACUGUUUUAUGCUUUACAAGUGAACCUACAAAAUUGAAGUUGCCCAUGAAGCUGUACAGAUCGACGCAUACAAAGGGUUCCGUACAGUGCACGUUAAUGCAAGGACUGUUUGAAGGACAAUUGCGGUCGAGAUUACGGGCCAUUGUUGCUUGACCCCACUGCGUUCCAUUCAUAGCCGGCGGCAAAGGAUUGUCUGGGUCGAUGCCUUGACCAGUCAGAAAAUAGACAAUGUUUUGCUGCCUAUCUUUAUCGCCGUCGGUUGCAGUUACCUACAAUAUCACCAGAAAGCGAUUCAUUAAAAUCUGUAUAGUUCCAUCCACUGCUUCUUCCUGCUGUUAAUUAAUUACAACAAAGUGAACAUUUAUAUAGUGGAACUAAACAUAAGCUGUGAAGUAAGUCAGUUACAUCGUUCCGAAAACGGUGUAAAACCGCCGGUUCCCCACCUGCACGGCGGGUGGGGUAUGUGAGAGUUGAACCUCACUAAAAACUCCUGCCGCUCACAGCCGGUGCCCUACCCCGGACCGGGCCGCAGCCGAGUCGGACCUACUAAGACGGCGGGACUGGGUUUACACGCAGAGCAUAUUACAUUCGUCCCGCCGUGUCUAAUUGCUGGAUACAAAGGAAGCCGGUUUGACCGAACCGCAACUCAAAUAUAGAAGAAUCAAAAGGAAACCAGCAAAGAAAAGUUUCAAAACAAAGUUGCUGAAUAAGAUGUUGAAAUGUUCAUAAAUUACCGUAUUGAGCUGAAAUGAUUUGUUCGACGAAACGAAUUGUGUGAAACUAAACAUAAGUAACAAAGAACACUACCCAGAAAAUACGAUAUAAGACUUGGAUCAUCGAUUCUAUUGUAUUGACGGAGCAUCGCUACUGUCCCCUUCUCUGUUCUGGGUUCUGUAUGGAUGGGAAUCGGACGCUUGACAAUCGACCCGACCGUCGUUAGUGAAACGUAAACUACAGAGAAUGCUACACACAAAUGAUUUUUAAAAUGAACAAUUUAGAAGUUAAAUAAAAAAAUGUAAAUAUUUUUUCAAUAAAUUUGUAUACUAGUUUUUUUAUUGCUUGGUUGGGUGGAACGGCUCACCUGAUGUUAAGUGCUUACCGGAGUCCAUAAGCAACGCAACGUGAAUACCGUCACCUCUAUCGAGAUAUCAAUUCUCUCAGUCUCAGUUCUCAGUUUUUCAGUACAACGGCAGAAUUAGGCAGGGUAGUAAGUAUCUACCCGAGCUGCCUCACAAGACGCUCCACUACCAUUCGUUUUUGAAAACACACACACACACACAUACACAUUAAUACAGUCGACAACAAUAACCGACAUUGAUACAUACAUGUAGGCGGCCCUACAUCGUGUUUAAUGGCUUAUAAUUCACAAAGAUGUUACUUUGGUUAGCAUUUAACAGAGCACGCGGCCGUGCUUAAAGUGUUAGAAUAUGUGAGCGUAGUUAAUGUAAUCUUCUUACAAUAGCUUUAAUAUUCUAAAGGCACGUACGGUAUCUAAGGACACCAAGCAAACCGUUUACUUUUUAUGAAGACGUGUAGAUACAGCUCGUGUUUGUUUGUUACGAACAAAUACAUGGUUCGCAUUAACACGUAGUUAUUCUCAUAACAAUAACAUAUCUAUAAACGAUUUUGCUACUACGUUUUCUAUUGACAAAUUAUUCAUGUCGAGAAACACAUCAACCUCAACACAUUAAGACAACCCUGGCAAGGCUCAGCAUCUACCUAAUUAUUAUGUUAUUUCAUAUUUAGGUCAAACUCAAACCUCUCUAGGUUACACAAAUUAAUGUAUUUGGAGUUCGUUUUACGUUUUCUGAAUUGGUGUAUCUACAUAUAAACUAGUCAUUAUGUACUUUAUUUAAAGUGAAUUGAGUUGCGAUUUUGUUGCAGAUUAAACAUUAUUGAAUUGUAUUAAGCACAUAUUGUUUUCAAGUAUUGCAGUUUUGUAAAAUUUUCUUCGUAUAUCCGGUAAAGUUUUGACCAUUAUAAAAUUGACUGAUCGAAUUGACUCAUAUCGGGCUUGACUGAGCAAGUGUUAGAGUAAUACAUACGAUUAUUUUUUUACGACACCCAUGGGAAGAGAUGGAGUGAUGCUAUUUUAGGUCACAAACGUAUUAAAAGCGAGAUAACCGUAAAAUACCUUACACAAAUAUUGUAUUCUGUAAAAAGGUAUUUUUGCGUUUCAUAAAAGCUCCACAGUUUUGAAAUGGAAUCUAAUUUAAUACUUAUUCAGAGCACGUUUUAAUAAUAUAGAACUGAACAAAUAAAAAAAAUGAAAUUUUUCGCAUUACAUUCAUACAACAAACAGGUCGUAAUAAUUAAUUUAAAUUUAAUAUCACGAGCGUUGCGUAAAACGGGUACAAAAAGUUACAUAAAAAUGUAUGUUAUAUGGCAACGAAUAGGCGAGCUUGAUUCUACAAUGGAUUUUGAACAAUCGUUACGUUUUUCGAUGAGUUUGCAUAAUGUUAAAUAAAUUACGUACUCAAAUUAAUAUAGCACAAUAAAUAACACGUACUUUCAAUAA